RNAcentral lists this transfer RNA (71 nucleotides) under Loxodonta africana (African savanna elephant). It matches the Rfam family "tRNA". From Rfam's summary of the family: Transfer RNA (tRNA) molecules are approximately 80 nucleotides in length. Their secondary structure includes four short double-helical elements and three loops (D, anti-codon, and T loops). Lineage: Eukaryota; Metazoa; Chordata; Mammalia; Proboscidea; Elephantidae. The record is from Rfam by way of RNAcentral.
GUGUUGGUGGCUCAGUGGUAGAAUUCUUGCCUUCCAUGCGGGAAAUCCAAGUUUGAUUCCUGGUCAAUACA